This is a non-coding RNA of Lactarius quietus, 81 nucleotides long. The record is from the annotation of a GenBank genome assembly. Lineage: Eukaryota; Fungi; Basidiomycota; Agaricomycetes; Russulales; Russulaceae.
GGCCGCCUGGCGAAAUGGCAUCGCGUCUGACUACGAUUUAUCGCAAUCAGGAGAUUGCAGGUUCGACCCCUGCGGUGGUCA